ACAACUGACUUUUAUGGUGAGAAAAACUGAACUUCUGGCUCAACAAGAGGCGGCCGACACUUGUUGAGUCUUUUUUUCUUCUGAAUAGACAGAAAGAUAACAAAAAGACAUUGAAGGACAUGAGAGGGGGGACAAUAACAAAGGAAGGAGAAAAUCUGCGUCUUCACAUGUUCCUCCAUCAGGAUCCAGCUGAGCAGGUCAGAAAACUCUCCCCACGUCCCCUCCCUUAACAAACCAUUGUCAGACAGAAGCCACUCCCACAGCCAAACAUCACUGCUGAUAUGUGUGUGUGUGUGUGGGGGGGGGGGGGUACCUCUGACCAGGUCGCUGUAGUUGGAGACAAAGCAGGAGGACCAGACGGGACUUCUCUGAAAGACAAGAGCAUCACGUUCGUCUGAAACGGUUUACAUCAGCGUUUCCGAUUCCUGUCAGUCACCUGUGAGUUAACCCCCCCCCCCCAAAAAAAAGAAGGAAGCUUCAUCAGAACCCCAGAUUCCAUCCAGAACUCCUUGAUCUAUCAAAAUGAGGGUGAGGGCCCUCACCAUGAUACAUAGACGCCGUGCUGCUGUUGAGAUCUUCUGCAGUUUGAGGUCUUAACCUUCACAAAACGUCAGAAAGUUUCCGCAUGACAGAUUGAUUUAGAUGCAGCGAAUAAUGACAAAAAUGUACAUUUCUGUUCUAUUGAUUAAUAGAAAAUGAAACAAAAAAAUGUGUUUUGCUCAAAUGAAGAGUCGUUUUCCUUCAGGUUUCAGGUUUCCCACUCUGUGGACUGAAGUACCCCUCCCCCCACAGGACUGCAGACGGAGCGGCUCUUCAGUCAUCUGACGGUCUGAGGGAGGAAACUGCUGGUCCUGACGUCCUGACGCC
This 867-nucleotide long non-coding RNA is filed under the name Oryzias sinensis (Chinese medaka). RNAcentral's name for it is "lncRNA (ENSOSIG00000017923.1)". Lineage: Eukaryota; Metazoa; Chordata; Actinopteri; Beloniformes; Adrianichthyidae. The record is from RNAcentral.